RNAcentral lists this ribosomal RNA (497 nucleotides) under uncultured bacterium. RNAcentral's name for it is "partial 16S ribosomal RNA". It matches the Rfam family "Bacterial small subunit ribosomal RNA", at positions 28 to 507 of the family's 1533-position model. The record is from RNAcentral.
GACGAACGCUGGCGGCGUGCCUAAUACAUGCAAGUUGAGCGCUGAAGGUUGGUACUUGUACCAACUGGAUGAGCAGCGAACGGGUGAGUAACGCGUGGGGAAUCUGCCUUUGAGCGGGGGACAACAUUUGGAAACGAAUGCUAAUACCGCAUAAAAACUUUAAACACAAGUUUUAAGUUUGAAAGAUGCAAUUGCAUCACUCAAAGAUGAUCCCGCGUUGUAUUAGCUAGUUGGUGAGGUAAAGGCUCACCAAGGCGAUGAUACAUAGCCGACCUGAGAGGGUGAUCGGCCACAUUGGGACUGAGACACGGCCCAAACGCCUACGGGAGGCAGCAGUAGGGAAUCUUCGGCAAUGGACGAAAGGCUGACCGAGCAACGCCGCGUGAGUGAAGAAGGUUUUCGGAUCGGAAAACUCGGUUGGUAGAGAAGAACGUUGGUGAGAGUGGAAAGCUCAUCAAGUGACGGUAACUACCCAGAAAGGGACGGCUAACUACGUG